UAUUGCACAAUGGGCGCAAGCCUGAUGCAGCGACGCCGCGUGAGCGAAGAUGGUUUUCGGAUCGUAAGGCACUGUCUUCUGGGCAGGAAAAAAUGACGGUACCAGAGGAGGAAGCCCCGGCUAACAUCGUUCCAGACGCCGCGGUAAUACGUAGGGGGCUAGCGUUGUCCGGAUUUACUGGGCGUAAAGGGUGAGUAGGCGGUAACGUGUGUCAGAUGUUUAAUCUAUGGGCUCAACCCAUAUCAGCAUUUGAAACUACGUAACUUGAGUGCAGGAGAGGUAAGUGGAAUUCCUAGUGUAGCGGUGGAAUGCGUAGAUAUUAGGAGGAACACCAGUGGCGAAGGCGACUUACUGGACUGCAACUGACGCUGAGUCACGAAAGCGUGGGGAGCAAACAGG
Molecule: ribosomal RNA, 399 nt
Filed under: uncultured bacterium
Lineage: Bacteria
Description: partial 16S ribosomal RNA
Rfam family: Bacterial small subunit ribosomal RNA
Source: RNAcentral